AUAAGUGCUGAAAGCAAUCUAAGCACGAAACUUGCCCCGAGAUGAGUUCUCCCUGACCCUUUAAGGGUCCUGAAGGAACGUUGAAGACGACGACGUUGAUAGGCCGGGUGUGUAAGCGCAGCGAUGCGUUGAGCUAACCGGUACUAAUGAACCGUGAGGCUUAACCUUAC
This 170-nucleotide ribosomal RNA is filed under the name Escherichia coli O157:H7 str. LSU-61. Its description in RNAcentral is "partial 23S ribosomal RNA". It matches the Rfam family "Bacterial large subunit ribosomal RNA", at positions 2764 to 2925 of the family's 2925-position model. The record is from RNAcentral. Lineage: Bacteria; Pseudomonadati; Pseudomonadota; Gammaproteobacteria; Enterobacterales; Enterobacteriaceae.